UACAUAGGGCGCGAGCGUUAAUCGGAAUUAUUGGGCGUAAAGAAUUUGUAGGCUGUCGUGUAAGUUGAAUGUGAAAUCCCUGGGCUUAACCUAGGAAUGGCGUUCAGGACUAUACGGCUAGAGUAUGUGAGAGGUAAGUGGAAUUCCUAGUGUAGCAGUGAAAUGCGUAGAUAUUAGGAGGAACACCAGUGGCGAAGGCGACUUACUGGCACAAUACUGACGCUGAGAAAUGAAAGCGUGGGGAGCAAACGGG
This 253-nucleotide ribosomal RNA is filed under the name uncultured bacterium. RNAcentral's name for it is "partial 16S ribosomal RNA". It matches the Rfam family "Bacterial small subunit ribosomal RNA", at positions 524 to 776 of the family's 1533-position model. The record is from RNAcentral.